CACUUGCUCUUGUGGACACCAGCUUGCAAUUAGAGCUCUAUCAGAUAUUUCAUUCACAAACUCAGAUGACAAAAUCACUGAGCCACCAAUCACAAGGUCAAGCCUAAUGAUCCAUAAGAAGGGUGUCUUGUUGUUGGCCAAACCCCAAGCAAACUCCAAAAGUUUCUCUGGAGACAUAACCGUGAUGCUACCAAAAUUCACAUAAACAACAGAAUUAGGUUCGUUGUUAUUAAGCCAUUCUAGCCACUCAGUAUCUUCCUUCCAAAGAUUGGAACCUAAAGAUUCCAAAUGACUAUGUGGACUUUGAUUUAAAAAUGAAGGGAGAGGACCAAUGGGGUAAACAGAAGGGAGCAUAGAAGAGAGAGCCUUCAAUGCCUCACUCUCAAGUUCAUCAAAAGUAUUUACAACAAUAGCAGGGGCUUUGAGCACAAUAUCAGCCAUACCAAUGCAAUAUUCUACCAUAAAGUUAUUUCGAUCUGUUGUCCUUAUAAAGUCAGGUAGGUCCUUCAGUCUAAAGUUUUUCAAACCUAGAAUCCAGUCUAGUUUGGUGUCCAAAUACCCAUUUGUCAAAUAACUCUCAUCUGCAAUCAUGAUCACAAAGCCAAUAGUUACAAGUUCCACAUAAAUACAAAUGACCAUUUUCUUCGUUAAAAUGUAUCCAUUAGUUACAAAUAGUAAAAAAGGCUAACAUUGAAAUAACAUUUUCGUGAACUUUGUUACCUUCAGUUAUUAUUUCAAUUCAAAUUGUCAUUCUGACUAGUCUUACCUGAUGGAUGCUAUAUAAAACUUCUCUAAAGAAAGAAAAGAUAAAGUAAAGUAUUAUUUUCAGCUCAGUUUAUCAGGAAAAACCAACAACUCAUAUCUCAGCAAAUACAUUAUUUGUUAUGCACAUAUACAUAAUAUUGAUUGUUGAUAUUACUUCAAUUAGAGGAACCGGAUCCGAAUUACUCGUGUUGUUCAUGCACUUUUUUAAAAGAAAGAGCUUUAAGGCAUACCUUUGAGUGGUAUUAGACCUUUGUCAGAAAGAGUACAGAAGUGCAUAAUAGACAAUAAGGUGUUGGCACUGAGUGGUGAAAAUAGAAGAAUAGGGAGUUCUAGUUCUUGAGCAGCUUUUGUAGUAAAAGUCAAGCAACAAUCAAAAACCAAGCAAGUAACUGGAGGUAUAUGGCCAACAAUGGCAGAAUCAUUGAGUCUAGCAAGAAGUUCACGAAAAGGUAGGAGAAAGUUUUAUCCCACUGUUUUACAAAGGGACACUGUGUCUUGAGUGACAUUAUCAGCUUCAUCUGUGAGGGGAAGACCAUCUGGGAUUGUCUCAAAAUGAAAAUCUUGAGAACNNNNNNNNNNNNNNNNNNNNNNNNNNNNNNNNNNNNNNNNNNNNNNNNNNNNNNNNNNNNNNNNNNNNNNNNNNNNNNNNNNNNNNNNNNNNNNNNNNNNAAGACCCCUUGAGUUGAGCAAGCGUUUGUAGUUGUAUUCAGUGUGGACAAAGGUAAUGUGAAAGCCUCUAAGAUGAAGCAACUUUGCUAAUCCGAACAAAGAAUUGAUAUGGCCUUGAGCUGGAUAUGGGAUCAACACUGCAUGUGGCUUUCUCUCUGCAGGGUUACUCAUCUGCAUUUCUUUCUUGUAGUGUGAAGAGAGAGCUUUGGAGAAUGAGAUACAAUAUGGAUAAGCAUGUGUUUUUAAGUGGGAUGAACCAAUAUUUAUAUUCAACUCCUAAACCUGUUAACUACUGUGUUCUGUUUCCCAUAUGCCAAAACAUAAAGUCAAAGGCUCUUUCUCAGUAGAGAAUUUUCAUCUUUCCCAGAAUGGAAACAUUGUUGCAUAGAUUAUUUUUCUGCUUUGCAAAUCAAAGUAAUUUUCAGAGUGUGUUUAUUUCAAUCGAUAUAAUAUUUAAAUUUAUGGUUAAAUAUGAUUAGUGUUCCCGCUAGGGAGAUGGAACUAGAGAACUGCUGACUGACUUCGUUAUCCUCCUUCCGGUCGGGCAGUCAGCUCGAACUUCAGUUUGUUCCUUUCACCUUAGCGCUACUUUUUCAGGUUCGUUCUAUCCCAGGUGAAUGCCAAAUGGGGGUACCUGCAGAAGACACUCUAACGCUCCAGUCAGCAAAGAGUAUUAUUCGACCUUCAGUUGUUAGAGUAUAUUCACUAAUGACGUACCAUGUUAUUGGAAUGUGCGCUAUUUAUAUUAUUUUAAUGGGCUUACCUUAUUGGGCUGGAUUAGUGGAGUGGAUCGUACAUAGGGGCGUACUACCUAGUUCUUAAUGGUGGUUUGACUUUACUCUUGAUUUGAGCAUUAAUGAGUUGGGUGUGUCGGUCGGCCCGCAUGGACGUGCUGGGCUCGGUAAGCUCGAUCAUGAGGACCAAGUUAUUAGUUCUUUGUUCAAACUUGAAAUCUUUGUUGUGUUGGUAGUAAAAUAAUUAAAAUGAAUCAUUGAUAUUAAACGAGUUUUACUUUAUUUUGACAUGACAAACGAGAUUCUAUCAUUAUUAUAUUAUAAUAUCAUAAUAUUUUUUCAGUUAUAAUUUAUUUUUUACAUGCAUGAAAAUUGAGAUACUAAAUUCAAUUUUAAUUUUAUUUCUUUUAUAUAAAAAAGAUUUAAAAUAUUUAUAUAACAUAUUAUUAUCAAUAUUUUUUUGUUUAUAUUAAAAAUAUCUUAUAAUUAUAAUAAGGAAAUAUUUAUAAUUAAUAUAAAUGUAAAUAUUUAUUAUAAAUAUUAAUUAUAGUAUUUAUAUUAAUUAUAAAUAUUAAUUAUCAUUAUAAGAUCAAUUUUAACAUUAAUGGAUUUUAUAAUUAUAAUUAAUAUUUAUAAACAAAUAUUAUAUUUAUAUUAAUUAUAUAUAUUUAUUAUAAUUAUGUUAUAAUAUUUAUUAUAAUCAUGUUAUAAUAUUUAUUAUAAUCAUGUUAUAAUAUUUAUUAUAAUCAUGUUAUAAUAUUUAUUAUAAUUAUGUUAUUAUUUUUAUUAUAAUUAUGUUAUAAUAUUUAUUAUAAUUAUCUUUUAAUAUUUAUUAUAAUUAUGUUAUAAUAUUUAUUAUAAUUAUUUAUAAUUAUGUUAUAAUAUUUGUUAUAAUUAUGUUAUAAUAUUUAUUAUAAUUAUAUUGUAAUAAAUUUUAAUUAAGUUUAAAAAAGGUUUGCAACAGCUGUAGAGUCAAGUUUUGUGGGGUGAAUGUGAUAAGCACCCAAACUUUUAAUGACUUUGGGCCUUAUGUAUCUUAGGUCUCUUUUCUGUUUGCACCAAGCCCAACACACAUUUUAUUUCUAUCUAUAUUUAUAAUACAUGGCUGCAUUAAAUGCAAGCAAGAAUAGGAAUAUUCUAACACUUUACUUUACUCUUUUUUUUCUAUGGCAAACCUAGGUGCCUUGUUCACCCUUAAAUAAAACACAAAAUCUCAAAUAUGGAAUCAGAUUUUUUUUAUAGUUUAUCGUAACGAGAGUUUGUUGAACUUACCAGGUCAUUUGUUGACAGAUCACUAUCGGAUCACCUAUAAUAUAUAGUUCCACACACGAGUUUGAGGGUCUCAGCGUAAGGAGUGUGUUGGAGAUCUCACAUCAAAUAUAGAUAAAAACAUUUCAUAGUAUAGAAGUGGGUGUAAACCUCACCUUAUAAAACGGUUUUAUAAGGUUGACUUAAGCUUAAAUGUGAGGUUUACACCCACUUAUAUACUAUGAAAAGUUCUUAUCUCUAGUCGAUUCGAGAUUUCCAACACACCUCCCUCAUGCCGAGACCUUCCAACUCAUCUAUCAAGUAUCCAACUAUGCAUACCUUCUUUACCCUACGUUCUUGCUUAUUUUUGGACAAUCUCUUAUGAUGUUGCUAAUUUCUUUCUCUUUAUUCUUAGAAUUCUAGAUCAUAUUCACAAGUUGUUGCAGUUGUUCAAACCCAAAGACUUUCAUUACCUAUUCAUUAAGAGUCUCUUCUUACGUAAACUUUUCUUUCUCAGUUUCAUUUUUUUCAUCCUUUUCAAAGGCAUUUGUAGCGUAACUAGCUUUCUGUUUCAUCCAUGGUGGAAAUCCAUGCUUUGAAUAACAUUCGUCAGCCAUGUGGUUUAUCUUGUUGCAGAAAGAACAUUGUUUUCCAUAGUUAUUUCCUCUUCCUCUUCCAUAGUUGUGCCACUCAUGAUUGCCAUUGUUGAUUGUGUUGUUUGUUCUUUCUUGGUUCACGUUGUUUCAAGACCUCCGUGCCUAUUCCCAUGCUCUCAUUGAUGACUUUUUACGACAAGUGCACUACGUUGUCAAAAGUAAUAAUAUGUCCCUAAGGACGAAUAUCGAACUCACAAUGAACAAUUGAAUAAUUAAGUAAAAUAUUCGCUAAAUAUAAAAGAGAAUAAUGAAAGUUUGUUGGAAUUUGUUGUGAUAACAAUCAUUAACAAGAAAACAAGGUAAAGAGUUCUUGCUUCAAUUGGAAAAAUAGGGAUUGAAUUUCAUCUUUCCCACUCUUUUGUAUUUUGAUUAAUCAUGAUAAUAUGGUGUCCUCCAUAGAGCAAAAGCAAGGUAUGUUAAUUUUAUUCCACCUCUUCUCCAUUUGUUUCACACUAAGCGAAUGGUAAAAGUAGGAAAACGAAGAACUCACCCAAUAAUUCCUCCAAUACAGUCAUAGAAUUGCUAUAUUUCUGGAAAAAGUUUCUAGAAACUUAUUCAAUUCUAUAAUCUCGUAAUCCCUCAAUGCCAUCCCCAAACUCCCACAACUAUUGCCAAUAUAGGAAUUCAAAUUCUCAAUCAUCUUCGCUAUAGCGUAAAACGCGCUCUUCGCACCAUGGAUUCUACCAAUUCGGUUUUGUCCAAAUACAGCAUGUGCACCUGCUCCACGACAACCACACACUUGAGCAGGAACAGUUGCUCAAAGCUCAACCGGGACGUGGCCAAAACCCUAGCAAGGCCGCGACCCGAGCCGAAGAAGCGCUUCACUCUGGAAGCGGCGUUGAGCACUCGGAUCUUUUAGACGAGAGUGGCGCAUGCCGCAAGCCUGCCGUAGAGCACGGUGAGGCGUGCGAUUUCGCGGUGGAAGUUGAAGUUGUCUGGCGUGGGGGUGAGACCUUCAAGGUCUCUGUGGAGAUUCUAGCGACUUGAAAUUUGGAGGGAGAGAGAGAGGAGAUGACGUGGAAAAUGAGUUAUCGUUUUGAAUUUAUAAUAUUAUAAUAUAAUUUAUACUAGAAUUUUGUUUGUAUGUUAAAAAAAUUAAUAUAUUAUAUUAUUAAAGAUUUAUUUUAAUCAUUUACUCUGACUUCGUCUCCUUUCUUCUUGUCGUGCGGUCAACUCCUACCUUAGCUUGCUUCUUUUUCCUUCUUAUUACGUCUUCGUCGCACUGCCUCUGAUGAAUGUUGAAUGGGGGUACCUGUAGAAGACACUCUAACGCACAAGUCAACGAAAGGAGUAUUCGACACUCGGAAGUAUACAGUAAUUAAUGACGUACUUGCUCCUUAGAAUGUGUGCUAUUUAUAUUACCUAUAAUGGUUUUCCUUAUUGGGUCAGGUUAAGGAGUGAGUCCGCGUUUAGGAUUGCAUUACCUAGUUGCUAAUCACGGGAUUAGGUUUGUUGAGUCUGUCUAGAUGUAAUAAGAUUUAUAAAAUCGAUUGGUCUACUGGGAAUAGGCCUUGGGUCGGAGGUCCGCUAAUGGGGCUGAGACUCUGGUUAGUCGUUCGGUCCACACCAAUUCAUAUUGCAACACUCCCAUGGAGAUGCAGGGAGAAAUCUUAGGAGUGUAAAAUGCAAUUGCCUAAGAGUGCUCUACUUGAUUAGGUGCAAUUAUCAAUUUCAACCUACACUCAAUCUUUCAUAAAUAUGAUGAAAAUGCUUCUAUGGAAUGACGAAAAUUACCUUAAAUGAAAAGAAAUGAGAGUUAAUAAAAAAUACUAAUGAACUUUUUUUUAACACAUUUCUGAAUUUAAAUAUUCAUAACACAUUUUUUAAUUCCAGAAAUUCAUAUCCAUAAUGCAUUUUCAAAUUUUGUGUUAUUGAUUUGAAUAUCUGGAACACAUUUUUUAAUUCUGAAAACUUUUUUUCAGAAUAUAUUUUCAGAUUUGGUUUUCCAAAUUUGGAUUUCCAUAACACAUUUUUUAAAUAUGGAAAUUCUUUUUCAAAUUGCAUUUUCAGAUUUUGUGUUUUGAAUUUUCUUUUUUAAAAUGUAUUUUUUACGGUAGAUAUUUUGACUGUUGAAUUAUAUUUUUUAAAUUCUGGAUUUUCAAAUAUGAAAUAGAGGGUAAUUUUAGAAAUUUUGAAAGAUAAUAGGGUGCAAAUUAAAAUUGAUAUGGCGAAGGAAGAAUUUGUCUCUGUAAAAAGUUUUUUAUAGUUAGAUUCAAUUUAACUAUUUUAUAUUUUUUUAUCUAUUUUUUUUUCUAACUUUAAAAUGUACCAAUUUUGUUCCUUUAAAUUAUAUCAAUAAAAGCUUAAGUAAAGUACUUACUUAACCAAAAGUAAAAUUAUUAUAAAACUAUAGAGACAAAAACUUUAUAAGAACUAAAUGCAUAUUUUAUCCUACAAAUUAUCACUUUUAAUUGAAAAGAAAACUAUUACCCUUGAGAUUAUCAUUUUUUUUUGUAAUUUGAUUAGUUAAGAAGCAAUUAUCCUUUUUAUUAAUAAUUAAGUAAUCAAAUUAAUUUAAUUUUAAUUAAUUUUUUACUGUAAUUAAUUUGAUUAAUAUUAAAAAUAUAAAUGGUAACAUAAUUAAUUAUAUUUUGAAAAUACAAAUUUGUAUCAAAAUUAAUUUUGAUUAAUAUUAAAAUGUUUCUUUUUUAAAAUGUAACUUGUGUUCCUUUAAAACAAUUUAAGUUCAAAAACACUAAAAGAAAAUCAUGAAAUAGAAACCAAUUUUUAGAGACCAACAUAAUUAGUUACAAUAAGAACUAAAAUAGAGACCAUUUUAGAAACUAAAAAAAAAUUGGUUUCUAAAUUAGUUUUUAUUAUUUUCUAUUAUUGUUAAAUAGUUUCUAAAUUGGUAUCUAAUUAGCAAUUAAGGUUUUAACUACCAACUAAAGAAAUUAUAGUUUAAUUUGAGAAAAAAAAAUUAGUUUUAUAAAUAACUUUUUUAGGAAACUAAAAAAAAAGCAAAAAUAAAUAAAUUAUAUUUUAAAACAAAACUUUAAAAAAUAAUGGUUGUGCAUAAUUUUUUAAUUUAUUUUACUAAACUUUUCUUUUAUUGUUGUGAUGAAGCUAACUUAUUUUUGCUUCACAAAGCAACAGAUCCAAGAUAAAUGACUCAUCAGAGUUCAGAUUUAGGGGAAAAAGAAAAGUUGUUUAAUCUAAUUUUGUUUGAACAACACUUCACUAAUCACUUUGUCUAAGUUCAUGAAUGAAAGACCACCAGAUCUAGUGUCCUCCUCUGCCUUCUUCUUCAACUGCAUCACCUUUUGCCUCAUCUUCUUUCCUUUCUCUCCCACCAUCAAUUCAUUCACAUGUUUCUCCACCUCCUUUCUCUUCACAUCAGUGUCAAUUUCAAUCCCAAUGCCCCAUUCAUUGCAAAUAUUUCUGCAAUUUGUUGGCUGAUCAGCAAAAAAUGGCCAACACACCAUUGGCACACCAGCACAAAUGCUUUCAAUUGUUGAGUUCCAUCCACAAUGAGUCAAGAAUCCACCAAUUGAAGGGUGAUUCAGCACUUGCUCUUGUGGACACCAGCUUGCAAUUAGAGCUCUAUCAGAUAUUUCAUUCACAAACUCAGAUGACAAAAUCACUGAGCCACCAAUCACAAGGUCAGGCCUAAUGAUCCAUAAAAAGGGUCUCUUGCGGUUGGCCAAACCCCAAGCAAACUCCAAAAGUUUCUCUGGAGACAUAAUCGUGAUGCUACCAAAAUUCACAU
RNAcentral lists this long non-coding RNA (7781 nucleotides) under Phaseolus vulgaris (common bean). Its description in RNAcentral is "long non-coding RNA (PVUL_LNC003314)". The record is from RNAcentral. Lineage: Eukaryota; Viridiplantae; Streptophyta; Magnoliopsida; Fabales; Fabaceae.